RNAcentral lists this ribosomal RNA (253 nucleotides) under uncultured bacterium. RNAcentral describes it as "partial 16S ribosomal RNA". It matches the Rfam family "Bacterial small subunit ribosomal RNA", at positions 524 to 776 of the family's 1533-position model. The record is from RNAcentral.
UACGAAGGGGGCUAGCGUUGUUCGGAAUUACUGGGCGUAAAGCGCGCGCAGGCGGUCCUUUAAGUCAGGGGUGAAAGCCCAGAGCUCAACUCUGGAACUGCCUUUGAAACUAGAGGACUUGGGUACGGGAGAGGUGAGUGGAAUUCCGAGUGUAGAGGUGAAAUUCGUAGAUAUUCGGAAGAACACCAGUGGCGAAGGCGGCUCACUGGCCCGAUACUGACGCUGAGGCACGAAAGCGUGGGGAGCAAACAGG